AGUUAAAUUUUUCUAUCAUCCGAUCUAAUACUUGCCUUUCUGUUUGCAGGUUCCUGCUACCUCAGCUCCAAGCCCUAUAACUUCUUCUACUCCAAGUUCCUCUACUAUGUUAGGCUAGAGAGCCCUUCUCUUGGCUGAUAUAUAGUUGAUCCUCUCCAAGAUCUUGAUUUCUCAUUUCUGGCUCAGUUUUCUAGUAGCUCCAGCGCUUACCUUUAGCUACACCAUUUGAG
This 230-nucleotide unclassified non-coding RNA is filed under the name Hevea brasiliensis (rubber tree). Lineage: Eukaryota; Viridiplantae; Streptophyta; Magnoliopsida; Malpighiales; Euphorbiaceae. The record is from RNAcentral.